AGGUUUUUAGCCCAAAUUUCGCUCAGUUUGGCACUAGAUGGCAGCGGAACGCCGAGGGGGAAGCGUUUGGAUGCAGGAUUGAGUCAUCCCGAGGAGCAGCAGAAUUGGGCUCGACACCCUGGAUGAUCCCAGGGGGACCCGCAGCGAGCAGAAAGGAUUGAACAUGGAAUUCUGCAUUCCGGGAGGAAACGCGCUUUUACUGCAAACCGCACAAAUCAGAACGCCAAAACUCACCUUUCUUUUGGAACAGGCUGCUGAAACAUGAUUUGCAACCCCAUAAAACUGAAACUCCAGAUCUCCAUGAAAGCAAAACCCCAGCUUGUGCCUGCACCUCCAAAUAAAGCCAGUCAGCUUUCAAUUUACAUCCCACCAAAAAAGAAAAAAAAAAAAAUCAAAAUGCAAUGAAGAGAGAUUCUUUGCCUGAAG
This is a non-coding RNA of Lonchura striata (white-rumped munia), 426 nucleotides long. The record is from RefSeq and is a predicted model, not a curated record. NCBI's taxonomy places the organism in Eukaryota, Metazoa, Chordata, Aves, Passeriformes, Estrildidae.